This 301-nucleotide ribosomal RNA is filed under the name uncultured bacterium. RNAcentral describes it as "partial 16S ribosomal RNA". It matches the Rfam family "Bacterial small subunit ribosomal RNA", at positions 509 to 807 of the family's 1533-position model. The record is from RNAcentral.
CAGCAGCCGCGGGAAAACGUAGGGUGCAAGCGUUAAUCGGAAUUACUGGGCGUAAAGCGUGCGCAGGCGGUUUGUUAAGACAGAUGUGAAAUCCCCGGGCUCAACCUGGGAACUGCAUUUGUGACUGGCAGGCUAGAGUAUGGCAGAGGGGGGUGGAAUUCCGCGUGUAGCAGUGAAAUGCGUAGAUAUGCGGAGGAACACCGAUGGCGAAGGCAGCCCCCUGGGCCAAUACUGAUGCUCAUGCACGAAAGCGUGGGGAGCAAACAGGAUUAGAUACCCCGGUAGUCCCUGUCUCUUAUAC